GCUGGAUGCUGACGAGCGGCGGACGGGUGAGUAAUGCAUAGGAAUCUGCCCGAUAGUGGGGGAUAACCUGGGGAAACCCAGGCUAAUACCGCAUACGUCCUACGGGAGAAAGGGGGCUCCGGCUCCCGCUAUGGGAUGAGCCUAUGUCGGAUUAGCUAGUUGGUGAGGUAACGGCUCACCAAGGCCACGAUCCGUAGCUGGUCUGAGAGGAUGAUCAGCCACAUCGGGACUGAGACACGGCCCGAACUCCUACGGGAGGCAGCAGUGGGGAAUAUUGGACAAUGGGGGAAACCCUGAUCCAGCCAUGCCGCGUGUGUGAAGAAGGCCCUCGGGUUGUAAAGCACUUUCAGCGAGGAAGAACGCCUAGCGGUUAAUACCCGCUAGGAAAGACAUCACUCGCAGAAGAAGCACCGGCUAACUCCGUGCCAGCAGCCGCGGUAAUACGGAGGGUGCAAGCGUUAAUCGGAAUUACUGGGCGUAAAGCGCGCGUAGGUGGCUUGAUAAGCCGGUUGUGAAAGCCCCGGGCUCAACCUGGGAACGGCAUCCGGAACUGUCGAGCUAGAGUGCAGGAGAGGAAGGUAGAAUUCCCGGUGUAGCGGUGAAAUGCGUAGAGAUCGGGAGGAAUACCAGUGGCGAAAGCGGCCUUCUGGACUGACACUGACACUGAGGUGCGAAAGCGUG
This 681-nucleotide ribosomal RNA is filed under the name Vreelandella aquamarina. Its description in RNAcentral is "bacterial SSU rRNA". It matches the Rfam family "Bacterial small subunit ribosomal RNA", at positions 79 to 763 of the family's 1533-position model. The record is from RNAcentral. Lineage: Bacteria; Pseudomonadati; Pseudomonadota; Gammaproteobacteria; Oceanospirillales; Halomonadaceae.